AGGCAUUUGCUAGAAUACACCCAC
RNAcentral lists this microRNA (24 nucleotides) under Medicago truncatula (barrel medic). The record is from RNAcentral. Lineage: Eukaryota; Viridiplantae; Streptophyta; Magnoliopsida; Fabales; Fabaceae.